CCCUACGGGGGGCAGCAGGAGGAAUAUUGGUCAAUGGCCGCAGGGCUGAACCAGCCAAGUCGCGUGAGGGAUGACGGUCCUAUGGAUUGUAAACCUCUUUUGUCAGGGAGCAAAGGGCGCCACGUGUGGCGUUUUGCGAGUACCUGAAGAAAAAGCAUCGGCUAACUCCGUGCCAGCAGCCGCGGUAAUACGGAGGAUGCGAGCGUUAUCCGGAUUUAUUGGGUUUAAAGGGUGCGCAGGCGGAAUGUCAAGUCAGCGGUAAAAUUUCGGGGCUCAACCCCGUCGUGCCGUUGAAACUGGCGUUC
This 305-nucleotide ribosomal RNA is filed under the name uncultured bacterium. RNAcentral's name for it is "bacterial SSU rRNA". It matches the Rfam family "Bacterial small subunit ribosomal RNA", at positions 337 to 641 of the family's 1533-position model. The record is from RNAcentral.